CGGUCCACCGCGGUCCUUGAAACCGCGAGCGGAGGAUUGAAAUGCCGGCCGUACAAGAGACGGUCGAUCGGGUUCGCCAGAUCGACGUCGAUCAAUAUCGUUAUGGAUUCGAGACCAUCAUUGAAUCCGAGAAGGCUCCGAAAGGGCUUUCCGAAGACACUGUCCGAUUCAUCUCCGCGAAAAAGAACGAACCGGAAUGG
Molecule: unclassified non-coding RNA, 200 nt
Filed under: Hevea brasiliensis (rubber tree)
Lineage: Eukaryota; Viridiplantae; Streptophyta; Magnoliopsida; Malpighiales; Euphorbiaceae
Source: RNAcentral